UGCAGUCGAACGAUGAAGCCCAGCUUGCUGGGUGGAUUAGUGGCGAACGGGUGAGUAACACGUGAGUAACCUGCCCUUAACUCUGGGAUAAGCCUGGGAAACUGGGUCUAAUACCGGAUAGGAGCGUCCACCGCAUGGUGGGUGUUGGAAAGAUUUAUCGGUUUUGGAUGGACUCGCGGCCUAUCAGCUUGUUGGUGAGGUAAUGGCUCACCAAGGCGACGACGGGUAGCCGGCCUGAGAGGGUGACCGGCCACACUGGGACUGAGACACGGCCCAGACUCCUACGGGAGGCAGCAGUGGGGAAUAUUGCACAAUGGGCGAAAGCCUGAUGCAGCGACGCCGCGUGAGGGAUGACGGCCUUCGGGUUGUAAACCUCUUUCAGUAGGGAAGAAGCGAAAGUGACGGUACCUACAGAAGAAGCACCGGCUAACUACGUGCCAGCAGCCGCGGUAAUACGUAGGGUGCGAGCGUUAUCCGGAAUUAUUGGGCGUAAAGAGCUCGUAGGCGGUUUGUCGCGUCUGUCGUGAAAGUCCGGGGCUUAACCCCGGAUCUGCGGUGGGUACGGGCAGACUAGAGUGCAGUAGGGGAGACUGGAAUUCCUGGUGUAGCGGUGGAAUGCGCAGAUAUCAGGAGGAACACCGAUGGCGAAGGCAGGUCUCUGGGCUGUAACUGACGCUGAGGAGCGAAAGCAUGGGGAGCGAACAGGAUUAGAUACCCUGGUAGUCCAUGCCGUAAACGUUGGGCACUAGGUGUGGGGACCAUUCCACGGUUUCCGCGCCGCAGCUAACGCAUUAAGUGCCCCGCCUGGGGAGUACGGCCGCAAGGCUAAAACUCAAAGGAAUUGACGGGGGCCCGCACAAGCGGCGGAGCAUGCGGAUUAAUUCGAUGCAACGCGAAGAACCUUACCAAGGCUUGACAUGUUCUCGAUCGCCGUAGAGAUACGGUUUCCCCUUUGGGGUGGGUUCACAGGUGGUGCAUGGUUGUCGUCAGCUCGUGUCGUGAGAUGUUGGGUUAAGUCCCGCAACGAGCGCAACCCUCGUUCAUGUUGCCAGCACGUCCUGGGKGGGGACUCAUGGGARACUGCCGGGGUCAMCUCGGAGGAAGGUGAGGACGACGUCAAAUCAUCAUGCCCCUUAUGUCUUGGGCUUCCNCAUGCUACAUGGCC
RNAcentral lists this ribosomal RNA (1165 nucleotides) under Micrococcus sp. RNAcentral's name for it is "bacterial SSU rRNA". Lineage: Bacteria; Bacillati; Actinomycetota; Actinomycetes; Micrococcales; Micrococcaceae. The record is from RNAcentral.